GACGAACGCUGGCGGCGUGCUUAACACAUGCAAGUCGAACGGAAAGGCCCUGCUUUGGUGGGGUGCUCGAGUGGCGAACGGGUGAGUAACACGUGAGUAACCUGCCCUUGACUUUGGGAUAACUUCAGGAAACUGGGGCUAAUACCGGAUAGGAGCUCCUGCUGCAUGGUGGGGGUUGGAGAGUUUCGGCGGUUGGGGAUGGACGCGCGGCUUAUCAGCGUGUUGGUGGGGUAGUGGCUUACCAAGGCUGCGACGGGUAGCCGGCCUGAGAGGGUGGCCGGCCACAUUGGGACUGAGACACGGCCCAGACUCCUACGGGAGGCAGCAGUGGGGAAUAUUGCACAAUGGGCGGAAGCCUGAUGCAGCGACGCCGCGUGGGGGAUGACGGCCUUCGGGUUGUAAACCCCUUUCGCCUGCGACGAAGGGUGAGUGACGGUAAUUGGUAAAGAAGCACCGGCUAACUACGUG
This 468-nucleotide ribosomal RNA is filed under the name uncultured bacterium. RNAcentral's name for it is "partial 16S ribosomal RNA". It matches the Rfam family "Bacterial small subunit ribosomal RNA", at positions 28 to 507 of the family's 1533-position model. The record is from RNAcentral.